UUCUCACCCCUCAGCCGUGAGGGUCUCCACACCCCUCACCCUCACGCCUGAGGGUCUCUUCACACCCCUCAACCACAAGGUCUCUUCAUACUGCUCACCCUCACUCCUGGGGGUCUCUUCUCUUUCCUCACCCUCAUCCCCAAGGGUCUCUGCACACCCCACACUCCUCACCCCUGAGGGUCUCUUCUCAUCCCUCACCCUCCACCCGAGGGUCUCUUCACACCCCUCACGCCUGAGGGUCUCUUCUCACCCCUCACCCUCAUCCCUUAGGGUCUCUUCACCCCCGAGGGUCUCUUCACACCCCUCACCCCCGAGGGUCUCUUCACACCCCUCACCCCCGAGGGUCUCUUCACACCCCUCACCCCCGAGGGUCUCUUCACACCCCUCACCCCCGAGGGUCUCUUCCCCCAGGGAAAGGGACCCCCCAGCAAUGGAGGAGAGCAAGGGCCGACACCGGGCUGAAGGUGGGGAGGAAACAUUUCCUGAACCGAAGCAGCGUGUCUUGGAGUAGCUUAGAAAAUAGUAAUGAAAAAAAAAAAUAUAAAAAAAAAAAUAAUAAAACCCACCCACAGUCUGAAGAAAAUUCAAGGAAAUGCUUUGAUUUUUUUUUUUAAAGUUACAUGGCAAUAAUUGCGUGCUCUGCAGAGACAGCAGAGAGAGAGAGCAGCCACUGGGGCCAUUUGUUACUUGAUUUCUCUUUUUUUAAGUACCCGGAGCUCUGGAAUUUUUGCACUCUUCCUCCUCAACCACGGUCCUAAAUUUUGCAGAUAUUGAUGCCUGCUUAUGUUUAAACUGCGGCUAACCUUGUAAACCCACUCCCGUGUGUGACCCGUUGGAGGGGGGCUUUUAGUAUUUCCAUGUUUUAAGUGAGAAAUGCCAAUCCUUUUUUUUUUUUUUUUGGUCAAAUGCACCCAACAUCUAUCUCCCCUCCGUGUUGGCCGGCAAAUGUCAGGAACAACCAGGGCCACGAAAAAAAAAAAAAAAAACCGACCAAAAUUCGAGCAGGGAAGUUGUGCCAGACGUAGACCACCAGCAUCUGUUUAUCAUUGUUGGAGCUGCAAGGGGGAAAAAACAUCCUCUGGAUCCUGAGCUGCCGGAGCGAAGGGAAUGGUUGGUGAGGUGAAGCCGGGGAGGGGGGAUUAGGAGAGUAUUAAUGAGCGGCUGGAACAAAUUAGCGAGGGAGUAGCAGAGACAACAGGAAGGAGUGCGAGGGGCUGGAGAAUCCGAGGUGCUUGUGGCAGUUCCCUGCCCGGCGUGGGAUGUGCGUGCUCUAGGAACCCACCCCAAAAAUUCAUCACACCGAAACACACGGCAACAAAAGCCAUUUUGUGCCAAAGUUGGUUGUCCGGGGCUUUCACCCCGUUACACGAUUUUUAAAUAUUUUUUUUUUAUUUUUGUUAACAGCGUGAGAGUGUGGUUGGAGUGGAUCUGGGGAAAGAAGUAAAUUAGGCUGACAUCAUUCACCCUGGUUGGGACCGAGGCUCCUGCUCCCGAGUUACACCCAGGAAACCAGAGGAAGCGGGUUAUGGUGUGAGGAGAAAGUGGGAAAGGAGAAAAAGAGGGAGGAAGGAGUGAGUGGAAGGGAAGGAGAAGCCGGCAGAGGAAAUGAAGGACGAGGAAACGAAGGCUGCGAAAAAGGGGAAGCAAAGUAAAAGCACAAUGCACGGUGAAUUUUGGGGGGAAAGACCAGGGAGAGAAGCUGAGAAGUUGCUGCAGGGUGAACCAAAGGGAGGCGUUUUGCCCGCAUUGGGGCAGAGGAAUUGUCACACGGAGCUGAGGUGGCACUGGGGCCAGCACGGGUGGCACAGAGAGAGACAGAGAGAGAGGGAAUCGGGGCAAGGAACAAAGAAAGACUCGGGCUGUGGGGUAAAUUAAAAAUAAGGUUCCUGAGGAAAGGAAAGGAAAGGAGCGAGCGUGGACAUCCUUGGUCAAGCCACAGGGGUAGCUGGAAGUUGGGUGCAGAUCACCCGGAGCAGAACUUUGAUCCCAGUGUUUGCUCGCCCUCGGGGAAGGGUGGGAUCACGCAUCGGGAGGGAUGAGUAACUCCUCUGCAAGGCUCCCCUGUGCGGCAUCAGCGGGGCUUUCACACCAAACUGAUAAAGGUGGCGCAAUCCUCCCCGGCGAGACAAUCCUCCAAAGCUCUCCUUCUGUUUGCCUCAAUGGUUUUGGUUGAUUUGUUUGUGGUUCAAGGGUGGGGGAUAUGGCUGCGUCAGUGUUGUGUCAGCCCUGCGAGGGGAGAACUUAUCUUCUGGAGAAGGACAAUGUUGAAGUGUUUCCUAAAAAUGUGAUGGCGAGAUAGCUGUCGUGUCCUUUGGAUAUGCAUCCCGGGACGGGACUUUCGCAGCUGGGAAUGCUUUGUUCCCGUUUUCCAUGUGAUUUAUUUGCAUCCCUGUGGUUCAUUUUGGCCUGAAGGGCCGCCAGUGGGUUGUGUGUUCGCAGACCAAAUCGUGAUUUGGGGCAGAGCGGGAUGAACUUCGGGAGGGAGGAGAUGGGCCCUGGGGCAGGAGAGCGUGAAACGUUAAAUGUUAAAAAUUCUCUUCACAGGUCUGCCUCCCAAGCGACCAUUAACAUUCAGGUGAUGGCUUUGUAAUUUUGCUCAGAGAUCCUUCCGUGGGAAGGGCAGGAAUGGUGCUAACCCUUAUUUAUGGAGCAGGAGAGAAGCACAGACCCGCCGGGGCCAUGCUCCCCCUGCUCCGGAGGAGGAACUCCGUCCCGGGCCGUGAUCCACCAGCACCACGCCAACAAAACCCCACCACCACAGUGGGGACAAAACUUAGCUUGGGAGGCAGAUACGUGACCGAGGCAGCUUUGAAGCCUUUUCUGAGGAAUCCUUCGUCCUUCUGUAGAAUGUUUAAUCUUCCUGUGGAGUGUCUAACUAUGAGACUCCUUCUGCAGACUUUCAUUCUUGUGCCGUACAGAUGAGCAGGGGUUGCUCAGGAUUAGCCAAAAUGCAAUUUUGUGAAGCUGCACUGACUGAUGGGGUUGGCUGCAGUGGGCUCUGGGCCUGGCAGGACUCAGGUUGCACAAGUAUGACAGCAGAAAGUCUGCCCCUUUAGCCUGGACUUAACCAUGGGUAGGGCAAAUAACCUCUUCAGAAGGCUCAAGACUUUUACACUUAUUAAAGUCUGCUCAUAAAAAAGAGACUCUGAAGCAAGCAGUGGUGCUCAAAGUGAAGAUCUGGGAAAAUAAAUGGCCAAAGCUAUCACGCUGUGACAGCUCUGGCAAACCUUUGCACAGUUUUGUAAAACAAACACGCGUGAUGUUCUCUUCUCUGCGUUGGUCUUUGCAUUAGAAGCUCAUACCUAACUCAGAGGAUGAAUAAAAUGGUUCUGUCUCUCCCUCUCCACAUAUUUACUGAGCACAUACUGGUGAAUUAAGUGCCAUCCCUGUGCUGCACCACGUCAGCCACGCUCUGUCAGCACACCCAGCCCCUCUGCAGCUUUCCUGCCUUCCUCGAGGUGUGUGAACCACAGGAGAUGGAGAUCACCCCAGCCUGCUCUGUGGGCUUCAUAUUCCAAGGAGCUAACUUCUCUGGAUCUCAAGAAUCACAGAAAAUAAAACAACUGUCUGUGGGCUUGCUCUGCUUUUCAGCAAGUACAAAAUGUGCCAGUGGACUCUGGUAACUGAGAGUGCCUCCACUGGUUUUCCACACCAAGAUUUGAGCUUCCUUUUAUGAACCAUUUGAGGCUUUUGUGUUCAGCUAGGAAGAUAUUGAAAACUGAGAAAAUUUCACUGUUUUGGACCCGUGGCCCAAGGAGGGGGUGGUGAUGAUAAAAAGCACUGGCACAUGUCAAAUCCAAGUGGUACCAGGUCUGACUGGUGGUUUAACAACUGGCCCAGAGCAGUGUUAAAAGUAAGAAAGGAAAUUACAGCAUUAUUCAUUAAUUUAUGCUUAUGUAUGUUUUGUUUCUCUCCACACACACACACAUGAUAUUGCUCAUAUAUAUUGUUCAUCUGGUAAGGAAGAAAUAAAAAAAGAAAUUGAUACCAGUCUGCAUAUGUGUUCAAAAGCUUAGCAAAUUCUCCAAGCUCUGCUGGGGAUCAAAUUUCAUGA
Passer domesticus (house sparrow) is the source of this 4054-nucleotide long non-coding RNA. RefSeq lists it as uncharacterized. The record is from RefSeq and is a predicted model, not a curated record. NCBI's taxonomy places the organism in Eukaryota, Metazoa, Chordata, Aves, Passeriformes, Passeridae. The transcript is spliced from 3 exons.